Molecule: long non-coding RNA, 1672 nt
Organism: Odocoileus virginianus texanus
Lineage: Eukaryota; Metazoa; Chordata; Mammalia; Artiodactyla; Cervidae
Source: RefSeq, a predicted model, not a curated record
CAAAUAAUUAUGCCUAUUUCUUAUUCCCAUGAUGAGAGUUAAGUAUUUAGAAUGUCAGUUCAUCUUAUCUAAAAAUAUUGCUCUGAACUACAGGUAUUACAUCCAUACCUGGAUACAUCAUUCAUUCAUUCAAAUAAGCAAACAAAACAUAACAAAAACAUUGGUCCUAUCCCAAACUCACCAAACAAACUGUAGCACUGAAAAGCCAAAAUGUUUCAUAACACCUACAUGAAAACUCUGAGAUAUGAUGUGUGGUUUGGGGAGAAUAGCCCUGUGUUGGGAGUCGGGAGGCCUACAUGGUAAUUCCAUGACUUUGGACAUUUAGAUUUUUCAGGCUUCAUUUUCUCACUCUUCUCACUAUUAAAAUGUAAGAUGGAACUGAACCAGUGUAUCUCUGUAGUGCCCUAAGGAUCCUCACUCUGCAGGAUUACAUGGAGAGUGGUCUCAUGAAGGUGGAGAGAGGCACGGCAGAAUUCCUGAGGGUAAGAGUUGGAAGAGAUGGGAAAGUGGUGCUGAUAAUCAUUUGCUAUCUUCUGUGAUUCUCAGCAGGGUAUCUGAGGGCAGCAGAGUCUGAAAUGAAUCCCUCAAGUAGGGUAAGUUUCCAAAACUAAAGACAGCAGCGGUAGAUGAGACCUGGAGGGCAGGAGCAGGUGUGUAUCCUGAUAUCCUCUCACUGUGCCUGGAUCAAAAUUUCAACUAUAGUGAACCUCAAGAUGUGUUGCCUAUAUAAAGGUUAAUGUAAAAACUCAGGGCAAAAUUUCUGCUAGCCUGAUCCUCUUGUGGCUGAAAUUAAGAAAGGAACUAAUUGUUUUGUUAUUUUUCCAACCAGACUCUGAAAUGCCUCAGGUGCAGUUUGAUAAGACUGAUGAUGAGGACAUGGCCACAUGUGUCUCCAAGGGCUGGUACCUCAUGCCCAGUGUCACCUGGCAGAGAGGGACCUAAGCAACCGCAGUAUAGUGGAGGUCCUGGAGGAGCAGAUGAAUGUCUUCUACAGGGUGUUCUCUGUCCUGAAAUACCCCAUCAAGUUAAAUGAGAAAUAUGUUUGCACACAACAGAGACAGAUGUGAGCAACCGGCCCUUCAGAAUCAUCCGCAAGUACCCAAGUGGCUCUUCAGAUGCUGGAAGAGUUUCUGGAAGAAAAGUCUGCAUAGGUUUCCAGGUAGAAGAGAAAGAUACAGCUACUGACUCUGAUGCAUGACUAUCACACAUCAUGUGUAUUCUACUCUAAGAUUGUAAAUCUUCUAGUGGUAUGUAUGACAGUCCAACACAGCAUUUCUCCACCUCUGGGGAGUCCAUGAUGUCAGUUAACAAGAGGAAUCCACAGACGAGGCUGGUGUUGACCACACUUAGUGGCCACAGAGCUGCCUGAAGUCCCUCAUGUGUGGGGGCUGCUUCUGAGUCUGAGCUGGUCGAGCCUAGGACACACCAUGGAGUAUCUCUCCUCCCCACAAGUGGAACAAUCUGUUGCUUCAACCAAACACGAUGGGAACAUCAGUAUCUAGGUUCAUGAAGAAUCCUGGACCCAUGAAAUACCAGUCCAUUGACUCUCCUCAGAUGAAGAGAAACUCUGUAAGCCAUAGAGGGUCAAGUUAAAGACUUAGAGAAAAGCCAAAUUGGGUGGGAAACAGGCUGAAGUGGCCUGGGUCUGGGGAUAGGCAGCCAGCUCUAUGUG